RNAcentral lists this ribosomal RNA (506 nucleotides) under uncultured bacterium. Its description in RNAcentral is "partial 16S ribosomal RNA". It matches the Rfam family "Bacterial small subunit ribosomal RNA", at positions 30 to 523 of the family's 1533-position model. The record is from RNAcentral.
AUUGAACGCUGGCGGCAGGCCUAACACAUGCAAGUCGGACGGUAGCACAGAGGAGCUUGCUCCUUGGGUGACGAGUGGCGGAUGGGUGAGUAAUGUCUGGGGAUCUGCCCGAUAGAGGGGGAUAACCACUGGAAACGGUGGCUAAUACCGCAUAACGUCGCAAGACCAAAGAGGGGGACCUUCGGGCCUCUCACUAUCGGAUGAACCCAGAUGGGAUUAGCUAGUAGGUGGGGUAAUGGCCCACCUAGGCGACGAUCCCUAGGUGGUCUGAGAGGAUGACCAGCCACACUGGAACUGAGACACGGUCCAGACUCCUACGGGAGGCAGCAGUGGGGAAUAUUGCACAAUGGGCGCAAGCCUGAUGCAGCCAUGCCGCGUGUAUGAAGAAGGCCUUCGGGUUGUAAAGUACUUUCAGCAGGGAGGAAGGCGGUGAAGUUAAUAGCUUCACCGAUUGACGUUACCCGCAGAAGAAGCACCGGCUAACUCCGUGCCAGCCGCCGCAGUAA